This 422-nucleotide ribosomal RNA is filed under the name Culicoides (Avaritia) sp. 54 MTB-2017. RNAcentral's name for it is "partial 16S ribosomal RNA". Lineage: Eukaryota; Metazoa; Arthropoda; Insecta; Diptera; Ceratopogonidae. The record is from RNAcentral.
UGUCUUGACCGUGCAAAGGUAGCAUAAUCAAUUGUCUUUUAAUUAAAGGCUGGAAUGAACGGUUUGAUGAGAUAAAAUCUAUUUUUAUUUUAUUAAAAUGAAUUUAAAUUUUUAGUAAAAAUGCUUAAAUAAAAUAAUUAGACGAGAAGACCCUAUAAAUCUUUAUUUUAUAUUAUUAUAAUUUAUUAAGAAGUUUUUAUUUUUUAAUAAAAAAAAAUUUUAUUGGGGUGAUAAUGAAAUUUAAUAAACUUUUAUUUUAUAGAUUAAAAUUUAUGAUUUUUUUAAUUGAUCCAUUAUUAGUGAUUAAAAAUUUAAGUUACUUUAGGGAUAACAGCGUAAUUAUUUUAGAGAGUUCAUAUCGAUAAAAUAGAUUGCGACCUCGAUGACAAUGCAUGAGGUGGAAAAUCGCCAUCAUGACGUCA